AUUGAACGCUGGCGGCAUGCCUUACACAUGCAAGUCGAACGGCAGCACGGGAGCAAUCCUGGUGGCGAGUGGCGAACGGGUGAGUAAUGUAUCGGAACGUGCCCAGUCGUGGGGGAUAACGUAGCGAAAGCUACGCUAAUACCGCAUACGAUCUGUGGAUGAAAGCGGGGGACCGUAAGGCCUCGCGCGAUUGGAGCGGCCGAUAUCAGAUUAGGUAGUUGGUGGGGUAAAGGCCUACCAAGCCGACGAUCUGUAGCUGGUCUGAGAGGACGACCAGCCACACUGGGACUGAGACACGGCCCAGACUCCUACGGGAGGCAGCAGUGGGGAAUUUUGGACAAUGGGUGCAAGCCUGAUCCAGCAAUGCCGCGUGCAGGAUGAAGGCCUUCGGGUUGUAAACUGCUUUUGUACGGAGCGAAAAGGCUCUCUCUAAUACAGGGGGCUCAUGACGGUACCGUAAGAAUAAGCACCGGCUAACUACGUGCCAGCAGCCGCAGUAA
This 500-nucleotide ribosomal RNA is filed under the name uncultured bacterium. RNAcentral's name for it is "partial 16S ribosomal RNA". It matches the Rfam family "Bacterial small subunit ribosomal RNA", at positions 30 to 523 of the family's 1533-position model. The record is from RNAcentral.